This 309-nucleotide ribosomal RNA is filed under the name uncultured eukaryote. Its description in RNAcentral is "partial 18S ribosomal RNA". It matches the Rfam family "Eukaryotic small subunit ribosomal RNA", at positions 1470 to 1796 of the family's 1831-position model. The record is from RNAcentral.
CCCUUAGAUGUUCUGGGCGGCCCGCGCACUACAAUGGCGUGCGCAGCGAGUGCCGAAGUAGAGUUUUCCGAGGUAUUCUUGCAAUGCUCGUUUUGAUGGGGAUAGACCCUUGCAACUGUUGGUUUUGAACGAGGAAUUCCUUGUAAGCAUGGUUUAUCAUCCGACGCUGAAUGCGUCCCUGCCCUUUGUACACACCGCCCGUCGCUCCUACCGAUGAGUCGUCCGGUGAAGUUCGUAGACCUCGUGAUCGCGGAUCACUGGGGGAAGCAAAAUGAACCUCGCGGUUUAGAGGAAGGAGAAGUCGUAACA